CAAAGAUGGUCACCCAAGAGGGGGGUGAAUUGGGUGUUUUAAAAACUUUUUGCCUAAUUAAAAAUAAAACACACAAAUAUAUGAACUAAAAUAAUGAUAAAGAGAUAAGAAGAGACAACCACAAACACACGGUUUUAUAGUGGUUCGGAGCCUUCACCGCUCCUACAUCCACUCCCCAAAGCGCCUUUGGGAAUUUCCACUAUAAUCCAAGAUUACAGUACAGUAGUUUUGCGAGUUCACUACCCAACUCGUUGUU
This 256-nucleotide long non-coding RNA is filed under the name Phoenix dactylifera (date palm). RNAcentral describes it as "long non-coding RNA (PDAC_LNC022436)". Lineage: Eukaryota; Viridiplantae; Streptophyta; Magnoliopsida; Arecales; Arecaceae. The record is from RNAcentral.